CACGUAGGGUGCGAGCGUUGUCCGGAAUUAUUGGGCGUAAAGAGCGUGUAGGCGGCCAUGUAGGUCCGGUGUGAAAACUCGAGGCUUAACCUCGAGAUGUCAUCGGAAACCAUUUGGCUAGAGUCCGGAAGAGGAGAGUGGAAUUCCUGGUGUAGCGGUGAAAUGCGCAGAUAUCAGGAAGAACACCAAUGGCGAAAGCAGCUCUCUGGGACGGUACUGACGCUGAGACGCGAAAGCGUGGGGAGCGAACAGG
This 253-nucleotide ribosomal RNA is filed under the name uncultured bacterium. Its description in RNAcentral is "partial 16S ribosomal RNA". It matches the Rfam family "Bacterial small subunit ribosomal RNA", at positions 524 to 776 of the family's 1533-position model. The record is from RNAcentral.